GAUGAACGCUGGCGGCGUGCCUAAUACAUGCCAGUCGAGCGAACGGACGAGAAGCUUGCUUCUCUGAUGUUAGCGGCGGACGGGUGAGUAACACGUGGAUAACCUACCUAUAAGACUGGGAUAACUUCGGGAAACCGGAGCUAAUACCGGAUAAUAUUUUGAACCGCAUGGUUCAAAAGUGAAAGACGGUCUUGCUGUCACUUAUAGAUGGAUCCGCGCUGCAUUAGCUAGUUGGUAAGGUAACGGCUUACCAAGGCAACGAUGCAUAGCCGACCUGAGAGGGUGAUCGGCCACACUGGAACUGAGACACGGUCCAGACUCCUACGGGAGGCAGCAGUAGGGAAUCUUCCGCAAUGGGCGAAAGCCUGACGGAGCAACGCCGCGUGAGUGAUGAAGGUCUUCGGAUCGUAAAACUCUGUUAUUAGGGAAGACCAUAUGUGUAAGUAACUGUGCACAUCUUGACGGUACCUAAUCAGAAAGCCACGGCUAACUACGUG
This 497-nucleotide ribosomal RNA is filed under the name uncultured bacterium. Its description in RNAcentral is "partial 16S ribosomal RNA". It matches the Rfam family "Bacterial small subunit ribosomal RNA", at positions 28 to 507 of the family's 1533-position model. The record is from RNAcentral.